RNA transcript from Oryza brachyantha (malo sina), 1284 nucleotides. RefSeq lists it as uncharacterized. The transcript has 4 exons. The record is from RefSeq and is a predicted model, not a curated record. Lineage: Eukaryota; Viridiplantae; Streptophyta; Magnoliopsida; Poales; Poaceae.
ACAAGAAGGCACGCACCUCUCACGUGCGCUAACCUCUCUUCCCCGUCCCAAUCCCUUCGCUCUUCGUCGUCGUCGCUCCGAAUCUCCGCAUCCUCCAUUACCAACCUCCUCCUCCCCUCCCCGAUGGCUCGCCUCCUCGCGCGAACCCUAACCCUAACCCUAGCCCGCCCGGCCCCCCUCCCCCCUCUCCGCGGCCUCGCCACCAAGGUCGAGGUCAUCGAGAUCGACCUCGCGGACGACGCCGGCGCCGACGACGCGGCCGGCCCUCCGUCGGUGGAGGCCGUCGGGGUCCGCCGCCUCGAGGAGGCGAUCCACGGCGUGAUCGUGCGCCGCGCGGCGCCCGACUGGCUCCCCUUCGUUCCGGGGGGCUCGUUCUGGGUCCCCCCCAUGCGGCGCCCCCACGGCCACGGGGUCGCCGAUCUCGUCAGCCGGAUGGCGGCGGCCGGGGCGUCUGGGGCGGAGGUGGUCACCGGGUUCGCGCACGAGCCCGAGGUGUACGCGCCCAUGACGGAGGAGGAGGCGCUCUCCUUCUCCACCGCGCGGGGCUGGCCGUCGGCGGACUACUUCGUCGAAGGGAAAUUUCCACAUUCAAAGAAAAAGUCAAGGAAACGUGCAAUCUACACUGAUGAUGAAGAAAGCUGAUUGGCUAAUGCUCCAUUGCCAAGGGGAAGGGUAAUACGGAUGUACUCCAUAUUGCUGAGGACUGGUCAGGCUCCUACAAGAAAAGGUUGUUCAGGGUUAGACGUCUCUGCUAUGACCAAUGUACAUAUGGAUGACGGCAAGGACCCAAGUGCUGAUUAAUCACCCCACCCCUUGAACUAGGAAGAUAAUCUAUGCAACUGCUAUGGGGUUGCAUUCUGUAUAUUUCACUCAGAAGCUGUAGUGUUAUUGUAUCAACCAGCCCUUGUGCCAUAGCCUUGUUCACGGUAAUAAAAUAUGGAGGGAGAAGGUGGAUGCAUGUAUUUGUGUUCUGCAACAGCCAUAGAAAAUGGAACACUAUCCGAAAUCCAAGGACUGUGGAUGAGUGUCAAGAAAGAAAUUGUUUGCCAAGCACUGAGAUAAAAACAUCUGCUUCCAUCUCCAAUCUUGAAUUUAUUUCCAUAUAAAAAUGUGUUGUAAUGGCAUCUUAGAUUUGCUAAGACCUAAAAGGUCAAUUAUAUGUGCAUUUGGUGGAUAUGGACUGUGAAGCACAUUUGAUUACAUUCUAAAUUUCUUGCUGGGAAUGCCAUAUCAUAUGAGAGUUAGAGCUGCUGUCGUGUCAACAUAUAAAUAUAAUUGGAUGGU